UUAAUAAACAAAGUGUUUUGGAUGAAUUUAUUGAUUCCUGACUAAGCUAAAGACACUUUCCACUUUAAAAAGCUUUGUUGACAAUAGGGGUCAAGGUCAUUGAAAUACCUAAUCUUGGUGUGACUUUAAGUAGCAAUGGUUAAUGGCAUGAACACAUUGAAAAUAUAUUACUGUCCGCUUCCAAAACUUUAGGCAUUAUGCGCAAACUGAAAUUUUCAUUUCGCAGGAAAGCUUUGAAUCAGAUUUAUAUAUCGUUUCUCCGACCAUUGUUAGAAUAUGCAGCUGUCGUAUGGGAUAAUUGUACAAAUUUUGAAAAAGAUAAUCUUGAAAAACCACGAAACGAAGCUGCAAGAAUUGUAACUGGUACAACGCGUUCAGUAUCGUUAGAAAAUCUCUAUAAGGAAAUAGGAUGGAUAUCUCUGUCCGAAAGACGGAUAUAUCAAAAAUUAAUAAUAAUGUAUAAAAUAAAACAUAAUAUGGUCCCAGAAUACUUAAGUAAUUUAUUUCCUAAUGUAGUCGGUGACAAUAACAAAUAAUGAAGAUUAUGUAAUCUUAAGAAGACGUACCGAAAUAUUUUCUAGUUCAUUUAUUCCAUCUUCUAUCUCAUUGUGGAAUGAAUUACCCAUUGAAACAAAACAACUAGAAGGCCUAUCAGCUUUCAAAAAGUUAUUAUUGACCACACGGUUUAAAGCGCCAGAAGUACCGGAGAUAUAUUCCUUUGGAGAACGAAAGUAUUCAAUUUUUCACUCUCGACUAAGAAAAAAUGCAGCAACUUGUGUUUUGAUCUUUUUAAUAAUCAUUUAGCUACCGAUUUUAGUUGUAGUUGUGGAUAUCAUAUUGAAGAUUGUGAGCACUAUCUUUUUCAGUGUCCUGACUUUGUAAAUCAAAGAAUAGUUAUGUUCCAGUCAACCAAGGACUGUCACCCUUUAAGUACAGAUACAUUACUUUUUGGAAACCCUUCUUUAUCAGUAAACGAUAAUAUUAAUAUUUUCAGAAGUGUUCAAAAAUUUAUUAAAGAUACAAAGCGAUUUGAGAAUUAAAUACUACAGUGACUUUUUGUGUCCAAAUUCAUCUAGAUUUAGUUUUGCAACAACAAGACCAACAAUAAAACUCUACAAAGCAAAAACUAAAAUAUUAGUAUCAAGCGAAAUAUAAACAUUAUGUUGUACGUGAUCUAACUAGAUUUCCUAUUACUAUUUCUCUAUUCUUUUAACUUCAAUUAUAUAAAAUUUUGCAUAGCUUUAUGAAUACACAUUUUGAAGCCGAAUCUCAUGUAAGUGAAAUUUGUUAAGGGGAGGGUAUGUAAUAAUGUUGAUAGAACUUAUUACCCAACCCUUUUGCAUAUAAUAUUGUUAAGUUUUGUACUUGAGAUGUAGAUAUUAUGUAUAUUAUAUGCAAUAAAAUAUGUUUAAACUAUGGAAACAGUCAAAUUAGUAUUGUGCAAGGUUUUUUUUUAAAUGGGAACAUGUUUAAGUCUCAUUUAGUUGACCGUGACAACAACCUGGCAUCCAUGAAAAAUUGUUCUUAGGGCUUACAGGUCAGCCAUCAAAAUUCAAUAUGCCAAGCCACGUUAGGCAAGUAACCCAAAAUUAAUUCAUUUUAAGAUCAACUACUAGUAUUAAUGUUACACUUAUCCUUGAAAUGAAAAUGGCUAGGCCCGAAAGUCUUUGUUUGAAGUUUUAAAGUUCUAUACAGAUUCUGAGUUUCUAUUAAUUGUCAAAGUAUCAUAAGUGGUGUUGUCACGAAAACAAACGUUUUAAAAUUACUUUGUUAGCUUUAAUGGCAAGUGAAACAUUUAACGUUUAACAGAAUUAUGUUUUUAUUUUUUUGCAGUUUUCCAGGUUGCCAUGAUGACAUAGAUGGCAGUCCAUACAUACACAACAUUGACGGAGGUCAGAUUUGGAGCAUAUACGACAUAAGAAGAUGACAGACUUCCAAGAUGACCGAUCUACAAAGUUAUACAGCAGAUUUGGAGCAUAUAGGGGUUACCAUGGAAACGUAUCUCUACAUCUAGGGAAUGGUAUAAAUGGAUGACUGGCGUUCAGAUGGUUACCAUGGAAACGUAUUUUUACAUCUAGGCAAUGGUAUAAAUGGAUGACCGGCGUUCAGAUGUACAAAGGUCUAGAGCAGAUCACCCUGGAAAUGUACCUCUACAUCUAGGCAACGAUAUAAACGGAUGAGCGAUGGUCAAAUGUACCAAGAUUUUGGAUCAUACAGGGUGUGUAUGUUUACCUUUUCUUUCUUAUGGCAACACAUUGAUAUAUUUGUUUCUGUUUUUACACAUAUCUUUCUGUAUCUACAUACUCAACAGGGUUACCAUGGAAACGUACCUCUACAUCUAGGCAACGAUAUAAACGGAUGAGCGACGGUCAAAUGUACCAAGAUUCUGGAUCAUAUAGGGUGUGUAUGUUUACCUUUUCUUUCUUAUGGCAACACCUUGAUAUAUUUGUUUCUGUUUUUUACACAUAUCUUUCUGUAUCUACAUACUCAACAGGGUUACCAUGGAAAUGUACCUCUACAUCUAGGCAACGGUAUAAACGGACGAGCGACGGUCAAAUGUACAAAGUUAUAGAGCAGAUUUUGGAUCAUAUAGGGUGUGUAUGUUUACUUUUUCUUUCUGGUGGCAACCCUUUGAUAUAUAUUUUUUUGCUUUUACGCACAGUUUUCUUUAUCGAUACGCUCAACAGGGUUACCAUGGAAAUCAGUAUCUACAUCUAGGCAAUGGCAUUUAUAAAUGGAUGACAGACUUCCAAGUCUACAAACAGCAGUGAGAGAAAUCUUGCAACCGAUCACGUGAUAAACGCUUAGCUUUCAACAGGCUAAGCCUUGCUAAGACCUGUUUAUGAAUUCAGGCAAACUUGAAUUUAAACAAAAUCUGGAUUAUAGGUGCGCUUAUUGAGAAAUAUAAGUUGUAUGUUUUUUCGUAAUACUUUGUGUUCAGUGUUUGCUGUUUUUGUUAGGGAUUUGUUUACAGUGAGUGGCUAUGUGAUGGUGUUUGUGGUGGUGGUGGUUGUUGUGUUGGGUGUUUUUAGUGGUGUCACGAUGACGGUGUUUGUGGCGGUGUUUGUGGUCUUGUGGCGGUUGUGGUGGUGUUUAUGGCGGUGUUUUAGUUUGUGAUGGUGUUUGGGGUGUCUUCGAUGUAGUCUUUCGGUUGUAUACCUUAUGGUUUGUGUUGUUUUGUCAAAAAGGUCUUUUUGUUGGUGCAAAUUGUUUGUCGCAUUGGGUUCUUUGCCUUUCCUUCCGUUUCAAUGUGUUGUUUUUUCUUUCUGCCACAAGCAAUAAAUUACUUCUAGAUUAUUAGAAUAUGUUAAAAUAUUGCGAUGUGUUUUAAUAUUUUUUAAUAUUUUUUUCUGUCCAAUCAAUUUUAGAUAGCUGGAAAGACAUACCAUGAAAUAUGCAGACAACAGCAGACGACACCUGGGUAAUCGCGCGCCAUGUUCCAUUCUAUUUCUGCUCUUUAUUCUUUUUGUUUUGUAUUCUUUCGUUGUUUUUUUCUACUAGAAUGACGGGGUACAUGGAGAAUAAAGACGCAGACGGAUAUGGAGAUGCAGACCAAACCAAAUGUGCGUUUCUCUUUAUCAUGAACAGGUAUGUAUAUUGCUAAUAAUAUUAUCCUAUUUUGUAUGCAUUUCCCUGCAGAUUGUUCCAAAAUAGUGGCUGAUGUUGACUACAAACAGGUGUGAAGAUAUCAUGUUGGUUAAUUGGGUGAUGCAGCAAUGGCGGCUGUUGUUGACUAUACAAGCACGUGCAAGGAUGUCAUGCUGUAGAUUUCACAACGGUUUAGUGAACGGUGCAGCUAGGUCCUUUGUCUCGGGCGCAAUGAGAAAGCAAAGGUCGAUUAUUCUCCCGCGUAGGAAUGGGCAUACAGUUUCUGGCUUUGGUGAAAGUAAACCUUAAAGUAUCCGGGACGAGAAACUUAGAACUAUUCGAUGAGAAAUUCAAACCAUUCGACGAGGAACCCGAACUAUCCAACGAGAAGCAGUUUCUUGGACCAUACACGAGGAAAAUUUAAGUUGAUGGAACAACAGUUGCGGUAGGGCUGUCUUGCCGGUACCAUAAAGAUGCAGAUAACCAGAGGUGCACUGGUUCCCUAUCGAGACGCGCUGAUACCCUAUCGAUGCCGGUCAUCAGAGGUGCGCUGGUUCCCUUUAUGUCAGCAUUAUAGUAAUCAACUAUUUUCAACAAGGUUUAAAAAGGCAAGAAGACAGUGUUUGAAAUCAUUUAAAGACAUAGAAAAAGAAUCGAUUGCAGAAAACCAAAAUAGCUUUAUGCCGUCCUGUGUUCUGAUGUUUCCGACAGCCGACAGACCAAUGCAUGCCGGAAGGUCGGCAAAGACGCAUGCAGUUAUUACAUACAUGCAGGGCUAUUGAAAAGUACGUACAUAGCUAUCGAAAAGUACGUACAGCGCUAUUGAAACGUACGUACAUGGCUAUUGCAACAGCGCUAUCGAAACGUACGUACAGGGCUAUUGAAACGUACGUACAGAGCUAUUGAAACGUACGUACAGCGCUAUUGAAACAUUUAAACUAUUGUUUAUUUUUGCCAAAUUAUUUCUUGUUGUUAAUACGCUGCCUUUGUCAAAUACUUUCAUUGUCAAUUGUUAUUCCCUUGCGAAGGAAGAAGAGAUAUAUUAUUUGUAUUGAUUAUUAUUAAAAGGAAAAAAACUGGAAGAUUUAGUUUAAUCUGAUUUGACCUUACAUCUUAAAGUAUUUCGUGUCUUAAUUACUCAUCCUCAUUUUCGGUAUCUGCAGAAAGAAGAACCUACAACAGACCUGGCACCAGCAUAGAAGCAUGGCACCACCGCAGUCGCCCUGACACAUAUUAGACACAUAUUAGACUUUUAUAUAUAUGAUUAUAUCCCCACUUACAAAGUAUAUGGGGCUAUAUAGGAGUCACGCAUGUCUACCGGUCCGUUCGUCCUUCCAUCCAUCGUGUGCACUGGGUACUCCUCGGAGGUUAAAGGUCAAAUAGCUUGGAAGAUAUUUAGCUCGACUGUUCGAAGAAUAAGGAGGGUUAUUGUACUUGCCCAGGCGUUUGCGUCACUGUCGCAAAUUUUAUCUUCUUUACUACUGCUUCUAUUAAUAUCAAACUUCACAUAAGUUCUCUAAGUGUUCAACUGACAAAGUAUGCAUUGUAGAUGAUGAAGUGAAAUCAGUGAGCUUUAUUCGAUAUCUAGGUGCAUUCCUGGAUGAAAACUUGAAUCUAAAAGAGCAUGUAAAACGAAAGUGUAGAACAGCAAUGCUCAACUACUUCAGAAUAAAAUGUAUCCGGAAAUAUCUUACCAAGGAGGCUACCGAAACCCUUGUCCUGUCAUUAGUGAUAUCCCAUUUAGAUUAUUGUAAUGUCAUUCUGUAUGGUAUUGCUCAAAGCGAAGUAAACAAAAUGCAACGAAUUCAGAACAUGUGUGCAAAACUUGUCCUAAAUCGAAGAAAAUAUGACAGUUCCAAGCAAGCGCUGUAUGACCUUCACUGGCUACCAAUCAAAGCCAGAAUCACAUUCAAAAUGCUCACCUACAUGUAUAAUUGUUCAGUUGGAACCUCUCCAGAAUAUCUUUCUGAACUUCUCAUAAAACAAACACAGACAAGAAACUUGCGUUUUUCAAACUCCGUUACUGGGUGUUUCGUUGUUCCUUUCAACAAGCGCAAAACGUCCAGCGACAGAAGUUUUGGUACUGUUGGACCUAAACUCUGGAAUGAAUUUCCUCUCGAAAUAAGGAACUCAGACACAAUAGAUGUUUUCAAAAAAGAAGUUGAAAACUCAUUAUUUUGGAAAUUACUUUGCACUCUUUUAGAGACUGUGACUGUAAUUUUUAAGAAAUUGAAGUAACGUGAACUGGAUGAUUUUAUUGUGUAAAUACAUUCGAAUAUGAACUAUAUUAUAACAAAUACAAAAUACAAUUGUUUGUAAUAACGUCUGGACAUGUCGCAAUAACCCACUUAUUCUUACUUAAUAACAAACAGCUAUCUUACUGUAUCUUAAUAUAUAUUCUAAUAUUUUAUUAAUCUUAUCUGAUGUCUGAUCUUUUUUUUUUAAU
Molecule: long non-coding RNA, 6034 nt
Organism: Mercenaria mercenaria
Lineage: Eukaryota; Metazoa; Mollusca; Bivalvia; Venerida; Veneridae
Exons: 7
Source: RefSeq, a predicted model, not a curated record